AACUAAGGAGACAGGAUCAGUCAAGUUGUCUGUCCUGAAGUUGAAUUAUUAUCAACAUGAAGUUAUUUUAUUACGCCCUCGCUGUAUUGCUGGUCAUCGCAAAUCUGAUGACAGUGAAGUGUGAAGAAUGCGAGUGUGAUGUACGCGACUUUAACCCCAUGUGCGGCAGCGAUGGAUGGUCAUAUGAGAACGAAUGCUAUUUGUACUGCGCUAAAGCAUAUAUGGUGCACAGAGGCCCUUGCAGAGAACCCGGAGACGAUGACUUUGGCAAUUAUUAAUUUUACAAACAACUUAUUGCAAAUGUAUAAUUACAAAAUCUCAAUUAUAGCAAAUUAUUGUUUGGGCAUGUUUCAU
This is a long non-coding RNA of Ostrinia nubilalis (European corn borer), 354 nucleotides long. RefSeq lists it as uncharacterized. The record is from RefSeq and is a predicted model, not a curated record. NCBI's taxonomy places the organism in Eukaryota, Metazoa, Arthropoda, Insecta, Lepidoptera, Crambidae. The transcript has 3 exons.